GGGUCCAUGGCGUAGUUGGAUAUCGCACAAGCUUGCCAGGCAAAUUUGAGGUCUCCUGUUCGAACCAGGAUGGAUCCC
This is a non-coding RNA of Marasmius sp. AFHP31, 78 nucleotides long. The record is from the annotation of a GenBank genome assembly. NCBI's taxonomy places the organism in Eukaryota, Fungi, Basidiomycota, Agaricomycetes, Agaricales, Marasmiaceae.